UUUCUGAUAAUACAGCAUUGUGAAGUCGGGGGAAGGCUGGCAGAGGGGCACAGUCUAGUCUGUGACCUGAGCCAUCAUGGUAGGGCGUCCAGGGUGAGGGGAGGGUGGUGUGAAUCCCCAGUAAUGCAGGUCCUUUCCAGGCCAGGCCCCUAGUCCCCAGGAGUGUGGGGAUGCCUGAGGUCUACUACUGCCUUAUCCAGAGCUGCCACCCCCGGCGAUGACUCAGAGUUCCUGUGGCCCCAGCAUCAUCCCUCCAUCCCUGGCUGCGAGGCCAGAGCAGAGUUGCAGACCUGAGAGGCCUUGAAUUUGUUUGAUAUAGGACUUUGCCACCAGACAAAGUGCUUUGCCUGUGAGGUCUGGCUUGGCCUGGCCUCUGAGAAAGAACAAACACAGACCUCACUGGAAGGAACCUGGAGAACGGGAGAGGAGAGGCUGCUGCUGUCUGCCCUCCCAGCAGCAGAUAUAAAGACAAUGGGCUUCUAAGUCCCCUAGAGUCCCAGCUGUGUAAUUUAAGAUGGAUCCCCAGCUGGGUUGAAAGGAACGUCAAGACCCUUCCUUUCUUAUGACCUAUGUAUCAACUCCCUUCUACCUUUCCUCCCUCCACUUGGAGCCAGUUCUAGUUGGUGAAAUGUA
This 633-nucleotide long non-coding RNA is filed under the name Pan troglodytes (chimpanzee). RNAcentral's name for it is "long non-coding RNA NONPTRT006404". The record is from RNAcentral. Lineage: Eukaryota; Metazoa; Chordata; Mammalia; Primates; Hominidae.